UACAGAGGUGGCAAGCGUUGUUCGGAAUUACUGGGCGUAAAGGGCGCGUAGGCGGCCUUCUAAGUCAGACGUGAAAUCCCCCGGCUUGACCUGGGAACUGCGUCUGAUACUGGGAGGCUUGAGUAUGGGAGAGGGAUGUAGAAUUCCAGGUGUAGCGGUGAAAUGCGUAGAUAUCUGGAGGAAUACCGGUGGCGAAGGCGGCAUCCUGGACCAUAACUGACGCUGAGGCGCGAAAGCUAGGGGAGCAAACGGG
Molecule: ribosomal RNA, 253 nt
Filed under: uncultured bacterium
Lineage: Bacteria
Description: partial 16S ribosomal RNA
Rfam family: Bacterial small subunit ribosomal RNA
Source: RNAcentral